Molecule: ribosomal RNA, 451 nt
Filed under: uncultured bacterium
Lineage: Bacteria
Description: partial 16S ribosomal RNA
Rfam family: Bacterial small subunit ribosomal RNA
Source: RNAcentral
GUGGGGAAUAUUGGACAAUGGGGGGAACCCUGAUCCAGCCAUGCCGCGUGUGUGAAGAAGGCCUUUUGGUUGUAAAGCACUUUAAGCGAGGAGGAGGCUACCGAGAUUAAUACUCUUGGAUAGUGGACGUUACUCGCAGAAUAAGCACAGGCUAACUCUGUGCCAGCAGCCGCGGUAAUACAGAGGGUGCAAGCGUUAAUCGGAUUUACUGGGCGUAAAGCGCGCGUAGGUGGCCAAUUAAGUCAAAUGUGAAAUCCUCGAGCUUAACUUGGGAAUUGCAUUCGAUACUGGUUGGCUAGAGUAUGAGAGAGGAUGGUAGAAUUCCAGGUGUAGCGUUGAAAUGCGUAGAGAUCUGGAGGAAUACCGAUGGCGAAGGCAGCCAUCUGGCCUAAUACUGACACUGAGGUGCGAAAGCAUGGGGAGCAAACAGGAUUAGAUACCCCAGUAGUCC